RNAcentral lists this ribosomal RNA (497 nucleotides) under uncultured bacterium. RNAcentral describes it as "partial 16S ribosomal RNA". It matches the Rfam family "Bacterial small subunit ribosomal RNA", at positions 28 to 507 of the family's 1533-position model. The record is from RNAcentral.
GAUGAACGCUGGCGGCGUGCCUAAUACAUGCAAGUCGAGCGAACGGACGAGGAGCUUGCUUCUCUGAUGUUAGCGGCGGACGGGUGAGUAACACGUGGAUAACCUACCUAUAAGACUGGGAUAACUUCGGGAAACCGGAGCUAAUACCGGAUAAUAUUUUGAACCGCAUGGGUCAAAAGUGAAAGACGGUCUUGCUGUCACUUAUAGAUGGAUCCGCGCUGCAUUAGCUAGUUGGUAAGGUAACGGGGUACCAAGGCAACGAUGCGUAGCCGACCUGGGAGGGUGAUCGGCCACACUGGAACUGAGGCACGGUCCAGACUCCUACGGGAGGCAGCAGUAGGGAAUCUUCCGCAAUGGGCGAAAGCUUGACGGAGCAACGCCGCGUGAGUGAUGAAGGUCUUCGGAUCGUAAAACUCUGUUAUUCGGGAAGAACAUAUGUGUAAGUAACUAUGCACAUCUUGACGGUACCUAAUCAGAAAGCCACGGCUAACUACGUG